Molecule: long non-coding RNA, 1730 nt
Filed under: Macaca fascicularis (crab-eating macaque)
Lineage: Eukaryota; Metazoa; Chordata; Mammalia; Primates; Cercopithecidae
Description: lncRNA (ENSMFAG00000051837.1)
Source: RNAcentral
UUUUUUUUUUUUUUUUUUUUUUUUUUUGAGACAGGGUACAGUGGCACCAUCAUAGCUCACUGAAGCCUUGAAUUCCUGGGCUCAUGUGAUCCUCCUUCCUCAGCCUCCUGAGUAGCUGGGACCACAGGUGUGUGCCACCAUGCCUGGCUAAUUUUUGUAUUUUUUGUACAGAUGGAGUUUCACCAUGUUGCUCAGGCUGGUCUUGGACUCUUGGGCUCAAGUGAUCUUUCCACCUCAGCCUCUCAAGUAGCUGGGACUACAGGUUCAUGUCACCACAACUGGUUAAUUCUUAAUUUUUUAUUUUUUAUUUUUGCAGAGAUGGAGAUAGAGUGGGGGCUCUUGCUUCAUUUCCCAGCUUGAUCUGAAACUCCUGGUUUCAAGUGAUCCUUCUGCUUUGGCCUCCCCAAAUGCUGUGAUUACAGGCAUGAGCCACCACACCGGGUCCCAAGCUUUUCUUAGCUCUGGAAAUUUGUCAGCAAUUACCUCAAUUUUUUUCUGUUUUCUACUUCUUAGACUCCAAUUAGCACAAACUAAACCUUCCCAUUUUAUCCUUCAGGUCUCGUAAUCUCUAAUUCAUAUUUUCUAUCCCUUCAUCUGUUUUUGCUGCAAUAUGUUGUUUCCUCAGUUAAAACUUGAUAGUCAACAAUUCCUUUAGUUGUGAUGAAUCUGCUCUUAAACCAUUCAUUAUGUUAUAUAUUUCAAGAAUUAAAUUUCAUGACUAAGUUGUCUUUGGUUCUUUUUAAUAUCUGCCUUUUAACAUAUCUUUUAUUUCAUGUUCAUUUUAAUUCAUACAUUAUUUAUUUAAACAUAUAACUGUUAUUCUACUUCUGCUAAUUGCAAUACCUGAAUUCCCUGAAUAUCUAAAUCUACUGUUUCUCAACGCAAAUGGUGUGUUUCCUUGCAUGUGUGAUUAAUCUAGAAGCAUUAAUUAGGGAGGCUUUCCUUCAGAGGGGAUUUUCAUCCACUUCUUAGAGUAACCACCAGAGUCCACUGACUUAGGACUACUUUAAUGCUUUAAAGCAUUCCUGGUUUUAUGAAGGAGUCUUAGGUUCACUUUCUUUACUUUGCCUGGAGUCCAUGGCUUAGUCUCAGAGGCACAGUUUUCCUGUUUCUCAACUACUUUAAUUUUAGCCCACUUUCAUUGGUAAUAACCUUUAGUGAUUAUCUUUCUUUCUAAUGAGCCAGGAGAUGAACUAAUAUUAUGUGUGUUGUAUUUUAUCCAAGAACUAGUUGUAUUUUAGCAGAAGGAUCCUUGAGUAUACCUAGUCAACCAUAUGGCAGGAAGCAGAAAUCAUAUACACCUUAGUUGAUUUUGGUAAUUUGCAUUUUUCAUAUAAAUUAUUCAUUUUCUGUUUUGUGAUAUAUUGGCAUAAAGUUGUUUAUAGUGUCUUAUUAUUUUAAACUCUAUGUUUGGUUAUUUAUCUGUAUUUUCAUUCCUAAAUUUUUUAUGUCUUCUAUUUUUUUCCAGAUCAGUUUCACCAAGUUAUGUGUACUUUAUGUAUUUAUUUAAAGAGACCAACUUUUGUUUAACUUGAUCUUCUCUUCUACAGUAUGAGUUUAUACUCCAGGGGAUCAGCCAACAUUUUCCGUAAAGGGCCAGAAAUUUUAAAACUGAAAAAUGCAGGAAUCAAUAUGAAACACUUAAUUGAUAGGCUCAAUAGCAGAAUGGAAGCUACUGCAGAAAGAAUGAAUAAAUUUGAAGAUAAAACAAAGAAACAAAGAUAAAACAA